GAGACCCCUCCUGCCUGCGCCCCAUGGCAGCUUCCCCCACCGCGGCGGCAGAACUCCCGUCCGCUUUCGCCUCCAGCUUAGGCUGUGCGGGCACGGGCGGUCGCGGAGUCUGCCCUGUGUUCUUUGGAAAAUCCACUUGGAACAAUAGUUCGUCUUACAACGUGGGACCUCAAGAUGCAGCCUUCUCCUCCCUCUGGAACUGGAAUCGGAGUUGUCCCCGCUGUCCUGCAGCUGCGAGAUGACGCUCCCCGGGCCCCUGGGUCACGUCGGUCCGAUUGGAGAUUCAGAGGACGGCGAACUGCUGACUCUGUUGUUAUCUUCUGAUGACGGAGUUUUGUCUUCUCCUGAGAGUCUUUGGCUGUCGAGACCGCUCGAAGGACCAGUUCUCCGGGUUGAUGUUCCCCGAGAUUCUCCUCGGGGCGGCCGUUCCCCGAGGUGGUGAAAUCUUCCCCGAGGGUUGCUGUUCCCUGGGUAUUUCCCUGGGGUUGCUGUUCCCCAAGAUAAUAAGGUUUUCUGUCUUCUCUUUGCCCUGAGCGUUUCACACCGAAGGCAGAGACGACACUGUGAGUCCAGCAGCUCAGGUUAUCAAGGUUGUUUAUUUCAUAUUAUCUAACAGUUCUUGUUCUGCUUUGCAAGGUGUCCCCAGCAAAGCAAGACACGCCGUUGGACUGGCGCUGGGCUGCCGCUGGACUGGGGCGGAUCAGAGAGCCCCGUACCUUAUGUACCGUACCCCCGACCCAACCACAGUCCAAGACGUAUUUAUUGUUUACAGAACAUUACCAAUACUAACUUGCUACGCUAACAUGUCAGUUCUAUUCUAAACCAAUCUCCAAAGUCCAAAUCAGCAAAAGAUGGGGGAUGAGAACAAGAACAAGGAGACUAGGGGCCACUCCCCAAUUCCUCCAUCUUGUCCUCUCAGCCCCGUAUACUAUGAAUCCUAAUCUCUAUAUUUAUACUCUAUGACAAACUACUAUCUACUUCAAAAUUCUUAGGAUCUGUGAUUCUUCCUUCAUGUGAGCAUUCACUUCCAUGGAUAGAAGCUAGAAUCAGAAUCCUUCUGGGCUCUGUGGGAGGCUGGCUGACCCCCUUGUACAGAUCCCAGACCCCCCUGUACAGCCCCCUGACUCUCCAGGGCUGUCAGAGGGAUCCCCUGGACUCCAACAUAAAACCUGGACCCCAGGCGGGGCCAAUUGGUGAACACUGGGGGACUGCAGUGCGACAGAGGCUGCUUUCCGUUCACCCUUUGACGAUCCC
Long non-coding RNA from Prinia subflava (tawny-flanked prinia), 1254 nucleotides. RefSeq lists it as uncharacterized. The transcript has 3 exons. NCBI's taxonomy places the organism in Eukaryota, Metazoa, Chordata, Aves, Passeriformes, Cisticolidae. The record is from RefSeq and is a predicted model, not a curated record.